Molecule: ribosomal RNA, 315 nt
Filed under: uncultured bacterium
Lineage: Bacteria
Description: bacterial SSU rRNA
Rfam family: Bacterial small subunit ribosomal RNA
Source: RNAcentral
GACGAACGCUGGCGGCGUGCCUAAUACAUGCAAGUAGAACGCUGAAGGAGGAGCUUGCUUCUCUGGAUGAGUUGCGAACGGGUGAGUAACGCGUAGGUAACCUGCCUGGUAGCGGGGGAUAACUAUUGGAAACGAUAGCUAAUACCGCAUAAUAGCAGUUGUUGCAUGACAACUGUUUGAAAGGUGCAAAUGCAUCACUACCAGAUGGACCUGCGUUGUAUUAGCUAGUUGGUGGGGUAACGGCUCACCAAGGCGACGAUACAUAGCCGACCUGAGAGGGGUGAUCGGCCACACUGGGACUGAGACACGGCCCAG